Molecule: long non-coding RNA, 555 nt
Organism: Megalopta genalis
Lineage: Eukaryota; Metazoa; Arthropoda; Insecta; Hymenoptera; Halictidae
Source: RefSeq, a predicted model, not a curated record
GAUACUUUUGCGACCUUGUUGGUCAGAUAAGACUCGCUUUACUAUUCUUACCACCUUCGACAAUGACCCAAUUGAAUAUUUCUCCAAAAUUCAAUUCUAUGGAAAAAGGAUAUUUUCGUGGAUGCCAUUAUUUUAUUGCAGCUACUGUUCGCACAGAUGAAGAAUAACAAAACAUUGGACCUUAUUUUUAUUACAAUAGUUGAAGAAAACAAAGUAGAAGAACUUGAUCUGCUAAGCAGUGAAUUUGAUUAGCUGAGGUGAUUUACAAAAAGGUAAAUUUAAUUUACGAAAGGAUAAAUUCGAUUUCAGAAGAGAUAUAAAUUUUUUUGAUUUAGAAGAAGAUGAAUAUAAUUUGCAAAGAUAACCAUAGAUGGCAAAAAGAUGAAUAUAAUUUGCAAAAGGUUUGAUGUUGUCUGCAAAGAGAUGUAUUACAGGGAAAGAAUGUCAAUUAUUGUGCCCAUUAAAGUGAUGUCCGAAGUUUUCAACGAAUCAAAUAAUUUUAUUUACCUAUAUUGCAAUUCUUAAAACAUUUAAAUUAUAUGUUGAUGUCUCUUA